UAACUGCGGAAGGAUCAUUAUCAAAACAGCGGACUUCGGUCCUUGCUGCACCCUUGUCUUUUGCGUACCGUAUGUUUCCUCGGCGGGCUUGCCUGCCGGUUGGACAUUAUCAAACCUUUUUGUAGUUGCAAUCAGCGUCAGAAAAUAAUAAUAAUUACAACUUUCAACAACGGAUCUCUUGGUUCUGGCAUCGAUGAAGAACGCAGCGAAAUGCGAAAAGUAGUGUGAAUUGCAGAAUUCAGUGAAUCAUCGAAUCUUUGAACGCACAUUGCGCCCCUUGGUAUUCCAUGGGGCAUGCCUGUUCGAGCGUCAUUUUGUACCCUCAAGCACUGCUUGGUGUUGGGCGCUUGUCCUGCAAAGGACUCGCCUGAAAGCGAUUGGCGGCCAACGUACUGGUGGUAGAGCGCAGCACAAUUUGCGUCUUUCCCCUCUGCGUUAGCGUCCAUAAAGCCUAUUUCAACGUUUGACCUCGGAUCAG
RNAcentral lists this ribosomal RNA (478 nucleotides) under Pyrenochaetopsis tabarestanensis. RNAcentral's name for it is "eukaryotic LSU rRNA". The stretch from base 159 to 312 matches the Rfam family "5.8S ribosomal RNA". The record is from RNAcentral. Lineage: Eukaryota; Fungi; Ascomycota; Dothideomycetes; Pleosporales; Pyrenochaetopsidaceae.